This 912-nucleotide ribosomal RNA is filed under the name uncultured archaeon. RNAcentral describes it as "bacterial SSU rRNA". It matches the Rfam family "Archaeal small subunit ribosomal RNA", at positions 1 to 922 of the family's 1478-position model. The record is from RNAcentral.
UCUGGUUGAUCCUGCCGGACCUGACUGCUAUCGGAUUGGUACUAAGCCAUGCGAGUCAUUGUAGCAAUACAAGGCGGACGGCUCAGUAACACGUAGUCAACCUAACUCGUGGACGUGGAUAACCUCGGGAAACUGAGAAUAAACCACGAUAGAUCAUAGUGCCUGGAAUGGCUUAUGGUCCAAACAGUUUACUGCCAUGGGAUGGGACUGCGGCCUAUCAGCUUGUUGGUGAGGUAAUGGCCCACCAAGGCGAUUACAGGUACGGGCUCUGAGAGGAGAAGCCCGGAGAUGGGUACUGAGACACGGACCCAGGCCCUAUGGGGCGCAGCAGGCGAGAAACCUUAGCAAUGUGCGAAAGCACGACUGGGUCAGUCCGAGUGAUUCCUGAUAAAGGAGUCUUUUGCUUGUCCUAAAAGCACAGGUGAAUAAGGGGUGGGCAAGUCUGGUGUCAGCCGCCGCGGUAAUACCAGCACCUCGAGUGGUCAGGACGUUUAUUGGGCCUAAAGCAUCCGUAGCCGGCUUUGCAAGUCUUCGGUUAAAUCCACCUGCUCAACAGAUGGGCUGCUGGAGAUACUACAAAGCUAGGGAGUGGGAGAGGCAGACGGUAUUCAGUGGGUAGGGGUAAAAUCCUCUGAUCCAUUGAGGACCACCAGUGGCGAAGGCGGUCUGCCAGAACACGUUCGACGGUGAGGGAUGAAAGCUGGGGGAGCAAACCGGAUUAGAUACCCGGGUAGUCCCAGCUGUAAACGAUGCAAACUCGGUGAUGCAUUGGCUUAUGGCCAAUGCAGUGCCGCAGGGAAGCCGUUAAGUUUGCCGCCUGGGAAGUACGGACGCAAGUCUGAAACUUAAAGGAAUUGGCGGGGGAGCACCACAAGGGGUGAAGCCUGCGGUUCAAUUGGAUUCAACGCCGGA